ACAAUGGGCGAAAGCCUGAUCCAGCAAUGCCGCGUGAGUGAUGAAGGCCUUAGGGUUGUAAAGCUCUUUUACCCGGGAUGAUAAUGACAGUACCGGGAGAAUAAGCCCCGGCUAACUCCGUGCCAGCAGCCGCGGUAAUACGGAGGGGGCUAGCGUUGUUCGGAAUUACUGGGCGUAAAGCGUACGUAGGCGGCUUUGUAAGUUAGAGGUGAAAGCCUGGAGCUCAACUCCAGAACUGCCUUUAAGACUGCAUCGCUUGAAUCCAGGAGAGGUGAGUGGAAUUCCGAGUGUAGAGGUGAAAUUCGUAGAUAUUCGGAAGAACACCAGUGGCGAAGGCGGCUCACUGGACUGGUAUUGACGCUGAGGUACGAAAGCGUGGGGAGCAAACAGGAUUAGAUACCCUGGUAGUCCACGCCGUAAACGAUGAUAACUAGCUGUCCGGGGACUUGGUCUUUGGGUGGCGCAGCUAACGCAUUAAGUUAUCCGCC
RNAcentral lists this ribosomal RNA (488 nucleotides) under alpha proteobacterium wj45. Its description in RNAcentral is "bacterial SSU rRNA". It matches the Rfam family "Bacterial small subunit ribosomal RNA", at positions 368 to 873 of the family's 1533-position model. The record is from RNAcentral. Lineage: Bacteria; Pseudomonadati; Pseudomonadota; Alphaproteobacteria.